AGAGUUUGAUCCUGGCUCAGAAUCAACGCUGGCGGCGUGCCUAACACAUGCAAGUCGAACGCGAAAGGGGAGCAAUCCCUGAUUAGAGUGGCAAACGGGUGAGUAACACGUGGGUGACCUGCCUUCGAGUGGGGGAUAACCUUCCGAAAGGAGGGCUAAUACCGCAUGACAUACCGUGUUUGGAUACACGGAUAUCAAAGCCGGGGAUCGCAAGACCUGGCGCUUGGAGAGGGGCCCGCGUCCGAUUAGCUAGUUGGUGAGGUAACGGCUCACCAAGGCUCCGAUCGGUAUCCGGCCUGAGAGGGCGGACGGACACACUGGAACUGAGACACGGUCCAGACUCCUACGGGAGGCAGCAGUGGGGAAUUGUUCGCAAUGGGCGAAAGCCUGACGACGCAACGCCGCGUGGAGGAUGAAGAAUUUCGGUUCGUAAACUCCUUUCGACCGAGAUGAAUAUCCCGCGAU
This 465-nucleotide ribosomal RNA is filed under the name uncultured bacterium. RNAcentral describes it as "bacterial SSU rRNA". It matches the Rfam family "Bacterial small subunit ribosomal RNA", at positions 8 to 460 of the family's 1533-position model. The record is from RNAcentral.